Molecule: long non-coding RNA, 657 nt
Filed under: Gallus gallus (chicken)
Lineage: Eukaryota; Metazoa; Chordata; Aves; Galliformes; Phasianidae
Source: RNAcentral
CUCAAACUGUAAGCACUGAAGUGUGCUGUAGGCAAAACAGAGCUGAAAAGUUCUAUUGCUACAAUGACUACAUCUGUGCUGGUUUGGGUCCUGAGCUGGGGUUCUUCUUUAUUAGUCACUCAGUUUACUUUGCAUCGUCAUCAUCUCUGCUGAAGUUGUUUAGGCUUGCUAUACUUUCAAGUUACUGCAUUUAGAUAUUUCCAAUAAUGUCUCCCUUUUUUGAUUCAUGUUUGAUUCAUGGGGUUAUCUGCAAACUGAGGUUUAUGAGGGAGCUCCUCUGUUUUUUGUUAGCUUCAAUAAUCUGCAAACAAUUGGAAAACUAUGAGACUUCAAGUUUUCAGUCAUUUUCAUGUAUUUCCCUAAUGGAAAACUCUGUAAUAAAUGCAAAAGUGAUGUUGAUGGCCCAGGUGGUGGAGUAAGUUUCUUGACUUGGAGCUGCUGCAAGUACUUCCUUUUGUAUGGGAUGCAACAAAGAUAUCUUGCCAAUUUGUUGUAAUUAGAUUCUGUAGCACUUGUCAGGUGUGUCAGCCUUUUUGUUGGCCAGAUUUCUAUUUCAUUAAUGUUGAAGCCUACCUCCCCUACUUAGCCUUGACUCUCACAUAAGUUCUAUUGUCUUUUCAUUUUCCAACUUCCAGCACGAAAUUGUGCACUGUACAG